This 63-nucleotide small nuclear RNA is filed under the name Ochotona princeps (American pika). The record is from RNAcentral. Lineage: Eukaryota; Metazoa; Chordata; Mammalia; Lagomorpha; Ochotonidae.
GUGCUCACUUCAGCAGCACAUAUGCUGAAGUUGGAACGAUACAGAGACAAUUAGCAUGCCCUC